CCUGCUUCAUCUUCCCAGAGUGCUAGGAUUACAGGCAAGGGCCACUGUGCCCAGUCAGAACAUUUUCCUCUUACUAAGUGUAUGUGAUGAGUAGGAAGGAUACUCGUGUCAGGCCUGGUUAAGAAUCCCCAAGAGAAAGGUGUUCUGCCAAAGGACUGUCAGCUCACGCCAACUCCAGCUGAGUCAGAAUCUAUCUGAAUUUCUCCAAGGCUGCCGAGCAAACUCCUACUCAUUCACCGCCUUUUCCUGAAACAAAGUGGCUCCCCAUUGCGCCAGGGGUCUUGGAGCUGCGGACCGGCCAGAGUGCGUGUUAAUAGCUUCACCACGCUCAACAGCACUAUUGGAAAAAUAACUACCAAGCUGGUUCCUCCCAGUCGCUGAAUAUGCCUUCUGACUUGGAACUGGCUGUGUUUCCCAGGUUGCACAUGCCAGGGACUUAUUUGUAAAGACAGUAGUUGGUCCUCCUUUUGUUCUGAAACCAAGCCGAGAGGGCUAAUCUACUGGCAGUUGCGGAAAUGAAACACAAGCAAAUCAUGUACUCUAUAAAGUCUCUAAAGCCACGGCUUCUCCAAGGUGGUCCUGGACUCCUCUUGGGAUUGAGGGCCUAAGAAGAAGCAGACACCGAUCCCUUGCUGUUUGUAAAUCUGACAGGCCCCGCUGAAUGCCAGCGCUAAGGCUAGUGGUGGCUGAGUCCCACCAGCUCAGCCACCUCCUAUCCAUUCUGUCCUAUCGGCUGCAUGCCCUUGAGUCUGGGUGCCUUUCCCCUAGACUCCACAAGGGAGGUGGUGAGGGCCCAAGGUCCCAUGAUCUGACUGUCUCUGGGAUGGUGAAGGCAGUGUCCAGUGGUCCCUCUUGUGGGCCAGCUCCAACACGAGCUUCCUGGAAACCUGGUCUCACCCAUUGCCCUCUGCUGCUGUCUUUCUAACCUCUGGGCCCAAUCUGCCUCCCUCUGUAAUCUCUAGUGCCCCGAGCUUUUGGCCCAAAGGUCAAAGGUCAGGCCUUCUCUAGGCCCAGGUUUCCUCACUGCCGCUGCUAGUAGCCAGAGAGAACAGAGCUGUAUCUCAGCCCCAAUUCUGUGAUGAUGUGGCUUCUUGUGUGUGUGUGGGGGGACUAUGCCAUUUAAUUUAAGAAAUUACACCCAGAACAUAAAGUUAAUUAUCUGGAUGUUUUAGGAGGUUCUUGCUUCCUUUCUUUGAGGAUACAAAUGGCUAAGUAGAAGCAAGAGGAGGAGGCUUUGAUCAAAAGAUUAAGGAGCAGUUGUCCAUUGCAUCCCUUCAUUGCCCCAACCUGGCCAGGGCUGGAAAGAAAUUGCCAGAAGGGAUAAGAAAAAGCAAAUGAAUGUCCAGCCCUCCAAGUAUCUGGUUCUGUUCCAAAGGGGCUGACCUAUGCCUGAGUGAGGGCAAGGCUGGCAGAGUAAAAAGCAGAUUUCUAUGCAUGUUCACGAGGUCCAAUGUAAUGAACACAUCUCCAUCAAUUUCUGGAGGCAGAGGGCUCAAUUUAUUUUGGUUUUAGUAUGAAAGUCCUCAGCCUUAGCUCUGUCUACAGAGCAACUGAGUAGUUAGAAUUCUCUCUCCAACGAAAGUGAUGGUCAAUAGAAUUCUUGGUAUCAAAUGAGCAAUAAUUUGCUGUGGCUACAUGCUGGAUAAUGAAAGAUGUUAGCAGGAUCAAUAAAAAAUGAAAACACUUUUACUUACAUCUUGAGUUACUGUUUUAAGAGAGCGAGAGACGCAACAAACUCAAAGCUAGGUUCAGAGCCACCCAGCACCCCUCUCAGAACCGAAAAGCUGAGUUUUGUUACUACCUGACUGUCCCUCGGUAUCCCAAGUCCCUACCUUCUCCCUCAGUGUGUCAGGAAGAGUAGACUAUUUACAUAAAAUUAACUCAUAGAAACCAGUAAUAAUUUACUACAGUUUUAAUUCUUUGUUUUUUUUUGGUCCUUAACGUCAGAAAUAAAUUUGAAAUUGUUUUCCACCAGGA
This is a long non-coding RNA of Otolemur garnettii (small-eared galago), 1977 nucleotides long. RefSeq lists it as uncharacterized. The transcript has 3 exons. The record is from RefSeq and is a predicted model, not a curated record. Lineage: Eukaryota; Metazoa; Chordata; Mammalia; Primates; Galagidae.